Molecule: non-coding RNA, 263 nt
Organism: Arachis ipaensis
Lineage: Eukaryota; Viridiplantae; Streptophyta; Magnoliopsida; Fabales; Fabaceae
Source: RefSeq, a predicted model, not a curated record
AAAACAUACUGUGAUCACAUGCAUCUAUUUUCCAUAACCUCCGCCCCGGAUGAUAAUUACCUAAGCGUUCAUAUUAAGAUACUUGGUGAUUGGACUAGAAAUCUAAAAGCCAAAUUCGUUAAGGCGUGCCACCCACCCCUCAAUGGCCAGAGUGGACUUCUAAGAGCUGACUGCAUCAAAGAAGACAGCCAAUCGAGGUGAGCCCAAAUCGAAGUGGGGAAAUUAUAAUACCAAGCGAUUAAUAUUUUACAAAACCACGUUAU